This 1395-nucleotide ribosomal RNA is filed under the name uncultured bacterium. Its description in RNAcentral is "bacterial SSU rRNA". It matches the Rfam family "Bacterial small subunit ribosomal RNA". The record is from RNAcentral.
AGAGUUUGAUCAUGGCUCAGGAUGAACGCUAGCUACAGGCUUAACACAUGCAAGUCGAGGGGCAUCAGGAAGAAAGCUUGCUUUCUUUGCUGGCGACCGGCGCACGGGUGAGUAACACGUAUCCAACCUGCCCUUUACUCGGGGAUAGCCUUUCGAAAGAAAGAUUAAUACCCGAUAGCAUAAUGAUUCCGCAUGGUUUCAUUAUUAAAGGAUUCCGGUAAAGGAUGGGGAUGCGUUCCAUUAGGUUGUUGGUGAGGUAACGGCUCACCAAGCCUUCGAUGGAUAGGGGUUCUGAGAGGAAGGUCCCCCACAUUGGAACUGAGACACGGUCCAAACUCCUACGGGAGGCAGCAGUGAGGAAUAUUGGUCAAUGGGCGCUAGCCUGAACCAGCCAAGUAGCGUGAAGGAUGAAGGCUCUAUGGGUCGUAAACUUCUUUUAUAUAAGAAUAAAGUGCAGUAUGUAUACUGUUUUGUAUGUAUUAUAUGAAUAAGGAUCGGCUAACUCCGUGCCAGCAGCCGCGGUAAUACGGAGGAUCCGAGCGUUAUCCGGAUUUAUUGGGUUUAAAGGGAGCGUAGGUGGACUGGUAAGUCAGUUGUGAAAGUUUGCGGCUCAACCGUAAAAUUGCAGUUGAUACUGUCAGUCUUGAGUACAGUAGAGGUGGGCGGAAUUCGUGGUGUAGCGGUGAAAUGCUUAGAUAUCACGAAGAACUCCGAUUGCGAAGGCAGCUCACUGGACUGCAACUGACACUGAUGCUCGAAAGUGUGGGUAUCAAACAGGAUUAGAUACCCUGGUAGUCCACACAGUAAACGAUGAAUACUCGCUGUUUGCGAUAUACAGUAAGCGGCCAAGCGAAAGCAUUAAGUAUUCCACCUGGGGAGUACGCCGGCAACGGUGAAACUCAAAGGAAUUGACGGGGGCCCGCACAAGCGGAGGAACAUGUGGUUUAAUUCGAUGAUACGCGAGGAACCUUACCCGGGCUUAAAUUGCAGUGGAAUGAUGUGGAAACAUGUCAGUGAGCAAUCACCGCUGUGAAGGUGCUGCAUGGUUGUCGUCAGCUCGUGCCGUGAGGUGUCGGCUUAAGUGCCAUAACGAGCGCAACCCUUAUCUUCAGUUACUAACAGGUUAUGCUGAGGACUCUGGAGAGACUGCCGUCGUAAGAUGUGAGGAAGGUGGGGAUGACGUCAAAUCAGCACGGCCCUUACGUCCGGGGCUACACACGUGUUACAAUGGGGGGUACAGAAGGCAGCUAGCGGGUGACCGUAUGCUAAUCCCAAAAGCCUCUCUCAGUUCGGAUCGAAGUCUGCAACCCGACUUCGUGAAGCUGGAUUCGCUAGUAAUCGCGCAUCAGCCACGGCGCGGUGAAUACGUUCCCGGGUCUUGCACUCACCGCCCGU